UUGUCUAUCUGUCAAGCUGGAGAA
Molecule: microRNA, 24 nt
Filed under: Marchantia polymorpha subsp. ruderalis
Lineage: Eukaryota; Viridiplantae; Streptophyta; Marchantiopsida; Marchantiales; Marchantiaceae
Source: RNAcentral